Symphalangus syndactylus (siamang) is the source of this 600-nucleotide long non-coding RNA. RefSeq lists it as uncharacterized. The record is from RefSeq and is a predicted model, not a curated record. Lineage: Eukaryota; Metazoa; Chordata; Mammalia; Primates; Hylobatidae.
GACCCUCCACAGCAAUGGACAGGCCCCCAGCGCCGGCCUCCCGGGUCCAGAUGCUGAACUCGGCUGGGGACAGGCAAGACUGCAGGCUCCACCCAGAAUGGGCACCGAUGUGUGUAGUGACCACUAACAAAAAUGGCUCAGUGGGAGGAGAGGAGGGCACCACGGGACAGGCAGUCUGGAAAAUUCCCUAAGGUGAUCUCUGCCUUGGAUGGGCCCUCCACGGCCAGUGACAGACCCCCUGUAGGUGGAAGUGUGGCCAAGAUCAGAGGCACCACUGGCUCCUCUGUGGCCUGCGGCAGGUGAGAGGGAACAGUCAGUGACUGGGGAAGGCCCAGCAGUUUGGCCCAUGCCAUGACUGAAGCUGGAGAGUGAGGAAAGAACAAGGUAGUUAAUGGUGAAACCAGCGUGGCAGGAGAGGUGCGUCAGCUGCAAGAGAAGGAGUGCUGUGCCCAAGUGGGGUUCCAUCUGCCCAGCCUGACUCCUGCCUGCUCCCCAGGAGGCCCCCAGACCAUGUCCCUGCCCUGGCUGCAGAGGAGUAGAGAGAAGAAAUGAAGGAAGGAGAGGAGGAGAAGGAGGACAUCGCCUGGUGGGAGGCGCAGU